This 638-nucleotide ribosomal RNA is filed under the name uncultured bacterium. RNAcentral's name for it is "bacterial SSU rRNA". It matches the Rfam family "Bacterial small subunit ribosomal RNA", at positions 91 to 727 of the family's 1533-position model. The record is from RNAcentral.
UCGACCGGCGCACGGGUGAGUAACGCGUAUCCAACCUGCCCACCACUUGGGGAUAACCUUGCGAAAGUAAGACUAAUACCCAAUGAUAUCUCUAGAAGACAUCUGAAAGAGAUUAAAGAUUUAUCGGUGAUGGAUGGGGAUGCGUCUGAUUAGCUUGUUGGCGGGGUAACGGCCCACCAAGGCAACGAUCAGUAGGGGUUCUGAGAGGAAGGUCCCCCACAUUGGAACUGAGACACGGUCCAAACUCCUACGGGAGGCAGCAGUGAGGAAUAUUGGUCAAUGGACGAGAGUCUGAACCAGCCAAGUAGCGUGCAGGAUGACGGCCCUAUGGGUUGUAAACUGCUUUUAUAAGGGAAUAAAGUGAGUCUCGUGAGACUUUUUGCAUGUACCUUAUGAAUAAGGACCGGCUAAUUCCGUGCCAGCAGCCGCGGUAAUACGGAAGGUCCGGGCGUUAUCCGGAUUUAUUGGGUUUAAAGGGAGCGUAGGCCGGAGAUUAAGCGUGUUGUGAAAUGUAGACGCUCAACGUCUGCACUGCAGCGCGAACUGGUUUCCUUGAGUACGCACAAAGUGGGCGGAAUUCGUGGUGUAGCGGUGAAAUGCUUAGAUAUCACGAAGAACUCCGAUUGCGAAGGCAGCUC